UACGGGGGGGGCAAGCGUUGUUCGGAAUUACUGGGCGUAAAGGGCGCGUAGGCGGCUCGCUAAGUCGGGUGUGAAAACUCUGGGCUCAACCCAGAGCCUGCAUUCGAAACUGUCGAGCUAGAGUUCUGGAGGGGAAAGCGGAAUUCCUGGUGUAGCGGUGAAAUGCGUAGAUAUCAGGAGGAACACCGGUGGCGAAGGCGGCUUUCUGGACAGAAACUGACGCUGAGGCGCGAAAGCUAGGGGAGCAAACAGG
Molecule: ribosomal RNA, 253 nt
Filed under: uncultured bacterium
Lineage: Bacteria
Description: partial 16S ribosomal RNA
Rfam family: Bacterial small subunit ribosomal RNA
Source: RNAcentral